CCUACGGGCGGCAGCAGUGGGGAAUAUUGGACAAUGGGGGGAACCCUGAUCCAGCCAUGCCGCGUGUGUGAAGAAGGCCCUCGGGUUGUAAAGCACUUUCAGUGAGGAAGAACGCCUGGUGGUUAAUACCCAUCAGGAAAGACAUCACUCACAGAAGAAGCACCGGCUAAGUCCGUGCCAGCAGCCGCGGUAAUACGGAGGGUGCGAGCGUUAAUCGGAAUUACUGGGCGUAAAGCGCGCGUAGGUGGCUUGAUAAGCCGGUUGUGAAAGCCCCGGGCUCAACCUGAGAACGGCAUCCGGAACUGUCAAGCUAGAGUGCAGGAGAGGAAGGUAGAAUUCCCGGUGUAGCGGUGAAAUGCGUAGAGAUCGGGAGGAAUACCAGUGGCGAAGGCGGCCUUCUGGACUGACACUGACACUGAGGUGCGAAAGCGUGGGUAGCAAACAGGAUUAGAUACCCCAGUAGUC
This 465-nucleotide ribosomal RNA is filed under the name Vreelandella stevensii. Its description in RNAcentral is "partial 16S ribosomal RNA". It matches the Rfam family "Bacterial small subunit ribosomal RNA", at positions 338 to 795 of the family's 1533-position model. Lineage: Bacteria; Pseudomonadati; Pseudomonadota; Gammaproteobacteria; Oceanospirillales; Halomonadaceae. The record is from RNAcentral.